RNAcentral lists this ribosomal RNA (472 nucleotides) under uncultured bacterium. RNAcentral describes it as "bacterial SSU rRNA". It matches the Rfam family "Bacterial small subunit ribosomal RNA", at positions 328 to 793 of the family's 1533-position model. The record is from RNAcentral.
GCUGAGCACUCCUACGGGAGGCAGCAGUGGGGAAUAUUGCACAAUGGGCGCAAGCCUGAUGCAGCCAUGCCGCGUGUAUGAAGAAGGCCUUCGGGUUGUAAAGUACUUUCAGCAGUGAGGAAGGUGGGUAUGUUAAUAGCAUACUCAUUUGACGUUAGCUGCAGAAGAAGCACCGGCUAACUCCGUGCCAGCAGCCGCGGUAAUACGGAGGGUGCGAGCGUUAAUCGGAAUUACUGGGCGUAAAGCGCAUGCAGGUGGUUUGUUAAGUCAGAUGUGAAAGCCCGGGGCUCAACCUCGGAAUUGCAUUUGAAACUGGCAAACUAGAGUACUGUAGAGGGGGUAGAAUUUCAGGUGUAGCGGUGAAAUGCGUAGAGAUCUGAAGGAAUACCGGUGGCGAAGGCGGCCCCCUGGACAGAUACUGACACUCAGAUGCGAAAGCGUGGGGAGCAAACAGGAUUAGAUACCCUGGUAG